Molecule: long non-coding RNA, 374 nt
Organism: Stegostoma tigrinum
Lineage: Eukaryota; Metazoa; Chordata; Chondrichthyes; Orectolobiformes; Stegostomatidae
Exons: 3
Source: RefSeq, a predicted model, not a curated record
CUGUGGCUUACGUGAGCAGUGGAAUGCUAAGGGCAAAAAAGGGAGACAGGAUGCAAUUUUCUUUGAAUGUGGCUGCCAUACCCAGCCCUCUGUCCCCGUGCAAUGCCACAGCUUGGACAGUGAUUGAAGAUAUGAUCUCAAAUGAAGCAAACUGUGCAGCCCUGAUGGAUGGAAUCUUUUCUGACACUUUGGGGUCCAUGCCUAUUGGCUGGAGAGACAGGGUGACACCCUCACUUCCUCUUCCUGAGAAGACUAUCAAACCACAAGCUAAUCCAGCAAUGUGACCAAUGAAGACCAACAGGCCUUCCCUUGAAAUCAAGACCUCCAGCAUUGGUCGAUGGAUAGUCAACGAUGGAGGACCCCGACAUAGCUAA